Molecule: long non-coding RNA, 483 nt
Filed under: Cyanistes caeruleus (blue tit)
Lineage: Eukaryota; Metazoa; Chordata; Aves; Passeriformes; Paridae
Description: lncRNA (ENSCCEG00000023729.1)
Source: RNAcentral
UCUGAAGAGAGUGUUUGAGGCUGGCUACUCUCCUCAAGAGAAAAAAGGAUAAAGAGAAUGAUUCUCCUAGAAGAAAAUGUAAUUUGAAAGAUACCAGGGACACUGGGCUCUAUUCUGCAUAAGCUGUAGCAGGAUAAAGUUUCAUAAGGUAAGGGUUCAGGUUAUGUGAUUUUUCCAAGUUCUCUAAGCCUUUGGGGUAUUGUCAGAUCAUGUGUUUAAAAAGUUUUGGAGAGGAGAAAUAAAUCUUUGCAAUUCCAAUAUGUUCUUGCAGUUGCUUGUCUCCAGGAGCAGUGCUUUUUAACUGAGUGAUUUGCUCAGUGCUGUGCAUAAUCCUGCAAGACUUAAGGAAAACACCCUGGCAGGAUGGAGUGCCAUAAAGCUGGAGAAGAACCAGAGAAAAGCUGUAUUUGUUACAGCUAAAAGAAGCCUUCAGGAGCUCCCCUACAGCUUUCCUUUGAUUAUAGGAUACAUUUCAAGUGCAAU